RNAcentral lists this long non-coding RNA (687 nucleotides) under Triticum aestivum (bread wheat). Its description in RNAcentral is "long non-coding RNA (TAES_LNC012159)". Lineage: Eukaryota; Viridiplantae; Streptophyta; Magnoliopsida; Poales; Poaceae. The record is from RNAcentral.
CCUCACGCGUCGCCAGCGCCUCUACCCCACACGCAGCGCCUCCGCCUCUCCCUCUCGCGCCGUCGCCGCCUUUCCAUGUUGCCGUACGCCGUCGCCUCUCGCUCUUCAAGAUCUCAGUUUUACUCCACUCCGGCGGCUGGAUCCGAAGCGUGGCGGCUCGAUCCAGCAGCUGUGGUACGCCAGCCCCUCCUCUUCAACGCCAGCAGCUGCAGUACACCACCCCCUCCUCUCCUCCUCGCUGUUGCUCAUCCCCGACAUGAUUAAUCAUAUUUAACUUGGCCGCAGGUGCCUAGCCGCAGCAGAGCAUGUUCAAGCAGUAGCAAUAGCAGUAGCUUCAAAUAAGGCGCCUCCCCGACGUGCGGCAGCAGCAGUAGCUUCGCCUUGCUAUCUUCUUCUCCUCUCUUCAAGCAGUAGAUCGAGCGAAGCAGAGCAGGUUCCCCUCUUCUCCUCUCUUUCUCUGUUUGAUGCAGCAGCCCCCUUGAACUUGAUUUGAUGUUUUUCUUCGAAUUGGACUUGUUUUAAUUUGGCAAGCCUUGUGUAGAUGCCUCAUCAACCUACUAGCUGCACCAACGAGAGGUGGGAGACGAGAUGUAGCAUCUUUGUACUGAUGCUCACAUUGCUCAAGUAAGUUAACACUGAAAUUCAGUUCACUUUCUUAAAUUCAGUUUGGAGUAAAAUUCAGUUGGG